RNAcentral lists this ribosomal RNA (374 nucleotides) under uncultured organism. RNAcentral describes it as "bacterial SSU rRNA". It matches the Rfam family "Bacterial small subunit ribosomal RNA", at positions 526 to 896 of the family's 1533-position model. The record is from RNAcentral.
CGGGGGGAGCAAGCGUUGUUCGGAUUUACUGGGCGUAAAGGGCGCGUAGGCGGCCAGCGCAAGUCAGUUGUGAAAUCUCCGGGCUUAACUCGGAACGGUCAACUGAUACUGCGCGGCUAGAGUGCAGAAGGGGCAACUGGAAUUCUCGGUGUAGCGGUGAAAUGCGUAGAUAUCGAGAGGAACACCUGCGGCGAAGGCGGGUUGCUGGGCUGACACUGACGCUGAUGCGCGAAAGCCAGGGGAGCGAACGGGAUUAGAUACCCCGGUAGUCCUGGCCUUAAACGAUGGAUGCUUGGUGUCUGGAGUUUUAUAGUCUCCGGGUGCCGCAGCUAACGCGUUAAGCAUCCCGCCUGGGGAGUACGGUCGCAAGACUG